UACGUAGGGUGCAGCGUUGCCCGGAUUUAUUGGGCGUAAAGGGCGCGUAGGCGGUCACGCACGUCCGUUGUGAAAUCGCUCGGCUCAACUGGGCGGGGUCAGCGGAUACGGCGUGGCUGGAGCAAGCUAGGGGGCAAUGGAAUUCCCGGUGUAGUGGUGGAAUGCGUAGAUAUCGGGAGGAACACCAGUGGCGAAGGCGGUUGCCUGGAGCUUUGCUGACGCUGAUGCGCGAAAGCGUGGGGAGCGAUCCGG
RNAcentral lists this ribosomal RNA (252 nucleotides) under uncultured bacterium. RNAcentral's name for it is "partial 16S ribosomal RNA". It matches the Rfam family "Bacterial small subunit ribosomal RNA", at positions 524 to 776 of the family's 1533-position model. The record is from RNAcentral.